This 119-nucleotide ribosomal RNA is filed under the name Scophthalmus maximus (turbot). Lineage: Eukaryota; Metazoa; Chordata; Actinopteri; Pleuronectiformes; Scophthalmidae. The record is from RNAcentral.
GCUUACGGCCACACAGCCUGGUUCACGCACGAUCUCGUUUGAUCUCGGAAGGCAAGAUAGGUUGGGCCUGGUUAGUACUUGGAUGGGAGACCGCCUAGGAAUACCAGGUGCUGUAAGCC